Molecule: ribosomal RNA, 253 nt
Filed under: uncultured bacterium
Lineage: Bacteria
Description: partial 16S ribosomal RNA
Rfam family: Bacterial small subunit ribosomal RNA
Source: RNAcentral
UACGUAGGUGGCAAGCGUUGUCCGGAUUUAUUGGGUUUAAAGGGUGCGUAGGCGGUCUUAUAAGUCAGUGCUGAAAUAUCCCGGCUUAACCGGGAGGGUGGCAUUGAUACUGUAGGACUUGAGUAGAGUCGAGGUAGGCGGAAUUGACGGUGUAGCGGUGAAAUGCUUAGAUAUCGUCAAGAACACCGAUAGUGUAGACAGUUUACUAGGCUCAAACUGACGCUGAGGCACGAAAGUGUGGGGAUCAAACAGG